Molecule: ribosomal RNA, 412 nt
Filed under: Verrucomicrobiota bacterium
Lineage: Bacteria; Pseudomonadati; Verrucomicrobiota
Description: Verrucomicrobia bacterium partial 16S ribosomal RNA
Rfam family: Bacterial small subunit ribosomal RNA
Source: RNAcentral
UGGGGAAUAUUUCGCAAUGGGGGAAACCCUGACGCAGCGAAGCCGCGUUCGGGAUGAAGGCCUUCGGGUUGUAAACCGCUUUUGAUUGGGAGCAAGCCUUUUGGGUGAGUGUACCUUUCGAAUAAGCGCCGGCUAACUACGUGCCAGCAGCCGCGGUAAUACGUAGGGCGCAAGCGUUAUCCGGAAUUAUUGGGCGUAAAGAGCUUGUAGGCGGUUCGUCGCGUCUGGUGUGAAAGCCCAUCGCUUAACGGUGGGUUUGCGCCGGGUACGGGCGGGCUAGAGUGCAGUAGGGGAGACUGGAAUUCCCGGUGUAACGGUGGAAUGUGUAGAUAUCGGGAAGAACACCAAGGGCGAAGGCAGGUCUCUGGGCUGUUACUGACGCUGGGAAGCGAAAGCGUGGGGAGCGAACAGG